Non-coding RNA from Leptonychotes weddellii (Weddell seal), 2014 nucleotides. The record is from RefSeq and is a predicted model, not a curated record. Lineage: Eukaryota; Metazoa; Chordata; Mammalia; Carnivora; Phocidae.
GGAGAGAAAUGCUGCAAAGAACCUGCCAGCACGGCGAGGGCAGGGUCGCUCACGGCCCUGAGGGACCAGAGACCCGCAGGCUGGCCCGUCCGGGAUGCCGCGCGCGGGCAGAGCACCAGCCAGCCAGGCAUCCCACUGUCCUCAAGAGAGCAGCCGAGCGCAGCUCCCCUCCGCGGAUGCCGCGCGUCCCGAGGCCCCGACAGCUCCUCGUUUCUUUCCAGCACCUGAAGGAUCUUCCUGGCUUCUUCGUCAUUUAAGAAACUGAAAUCAAACCCCCGAGGAACCUUCGUCAUGGUCUCUACUGUGUGAGAAUUACACUUAAGCUCCUUGGCGCCUCCUUUCACGAAGACAUUUUUCAAGGUAUAGAAGACCAGUUUCAGGAACUUGAUCCCAUAGCCAAUAAGAAGUCCGCCCCUUUGAAAAUCGGAAACCACAAACUUAGGGAACGGCCCACACCUACAGGGCUCAUUUCGACACCUUAACGACAUGUUUCUGUCCCCCUAUCCAACCGAGAUGCAAAAUGAACGGCUCCGCCGAGAGAGGGAACCAAUCGCAUUCCAAAGGGGCGGGCCCUCCCUCGUCUCCUCCCUCCCCUUUCCCCCUCCACCGCCUAUGAAACUUGUUAAAGUAACAAUCCUAAGUCUUUCGGCGCCUAAAUGAGGCCCGAGCUUAAGGGUUGGCGCCAACGUAGUAUUUGCUUUUGCGGUUGCUGUUUGCUCUCAGAACUCCAGCUGGACUCGUGGAAGGAGUGAAAAGGAAUGAGAUACACAGCUAAUCCUCCUUUUCAGUAAAGAGCAGCCCAUGGGAAGGAGAAUCGCGGUGGGAGCUUUAGAUCUGGUACAAGAGUUACCCCAAUGAGAGACCAAGAAGGGCUGAACUCAAUGCGAUUAUGGCCUGGCCCGCCCAGGGGCUAAAUUUAAUGUAUCCCCGGAAAUGAGUUCUUUGCCAAGCCUCGCAUCCCGCAGAGGCCCCCAGCACAUUCUCCUACAAAAGUCAUUAUCGAGCUUUAGGGGAAAAAACCAAAAACUUUUAAAAACCACAAGAUGGUUUAUGAUAUCUUAGGAGAAGACAGCCCCGGGGGCAAGGGGUGAUGAAAAUCACCUGUUUGUAGUUUUCUCUAAGAUUUGAUAAUCUUCUUAAUAAUUUCGGAGAAGUAAUUCAAGUGCCACUUUCAAACACCUAAUCCUCUGACUAAAGCAAAAUGUAAUCCUCUGAAACCACCAGAAAUAGCUUUCCUAGGAAGUAUUCUUAUGAGAUAGGAUGGAAGCUUCAAAAGGUAUUCAUAUAUAUGCUUUUUAAAAAGUAUUGUAGUGGGGGCACUGGGGUGUGGGAGUGCCUGGCUACAGAGGUCCCAAACAGCCCAGAUUUGGCCACCUGCCACUUAACAAAUUCCAAGGGCAGAGAAAUGAGCUGCAGUGAAACAAAAAAGGGACUUAUUUUGGUGAGGCCAACACUGGGUAGACAGUGCCCUAGCAUCUCAAAGACUGCCUCCAAAGUCCUGAAAAUAUUUCUGGCUUUAGAUAAGAAAAAUGUGGAAGAAAGAUCAGUGCGUACAUGCAAGUGGGCAGUCAAGGUCAGGUCUGUCAUGGUCUUGGGGUCAGUCAUGUGGGGUCUUGCUGGCUCAGGGCAGUCCUCACUGCUUGGAGAGAGUAGUUUAGGUCCCAUGCUUUGCCCUCAGGGUCUUUCACCUGAGUUAAGAGAAAAACUGGAAAGAACUUGAUCGGAAGGUACAGACACUAUAGAAUGGAGGUGGUUGAAGUUCCUCUUUCAGCAUCAAGCCUUUGGCAGGAAACGUGUUUCUUUCGUCUUAACUUUCAGCACAAAAGUAACUUUGUCAGAUCAAUUUGCCUGCCCCAUAGCCUUAAUUUUUGGUCGCUCCUUAUGCCGUGGUCAGCACUGCUGACAUUUAAAGUGUACUUCCACAUGUAUCAUCUCCCUUCAUGGCAAAUUAACCCCAAAGAGAUUUUGUAUCUGUAACAAAAACGUAAUGUCAAAAAUGACUGUUUAUGUCUUG